AACCUCUGCAAUAGGCGAAAGCUUGACAGGGUUACUCUGAGUGAUUUCCGUUAAGGAGAUCUUUUGGCACCUCUAAAAAUGGUGCAGAAUAAGGGGUGGGCAAGUCUGGUGUCAGCCGCCGCGGUAAUACCAGCACCCCGAGUGGUCGGGACGUUUAUUGGGCCUAAAGCAUCCGUAGCCGGUUCUACAAGUCUUCCGUUAAAUCCACCUGCUCAACAGAUGGGCUGCGGAAGAUACUAUGGAGCUAGGAGGCGGGAGAGGCAAGCGGUACUCGAUGGGUAGGGGUAAAAUCCGUUGAUCCAUUGAAGACCACCAGUGGCGAAGGCGGCUUGCCAGAACGCGCUCGACGGUGAGGGAUGAAAGCUGGGGGAGCAAACCGGAUUAGAUACCCGGGUAGUCCCAGCUGUAAACGAUGCAGACUCGGUGAUGAGUUGGCUUUAUGCCAACUCAGUGCCGCAGGGAAGCCGUUAAGUUGCCGCCUGGGGAGUACGUCGCAGAUCUU
This 502-nucleotide ribosomal RNA is filed under the name uncultured crenarchaeote. RNAcentral describes it as "SSU rRNA". It matches the Rfam family "Archaeal small subunit ribosomal RNA", at positions 345 to 857 of the family's 1478-position model. The record is from RNAcentral. Lineage: Archaea; Thermoproteati; Thermoproteota.